UGACGAGUGGCGGACGGGUGAGUAAUGCUUGGGAACUUGCCUUUGCGAGGGGGAUAACAGUUGGAAACGACUGCUAAUACCGCAUAAUGUCUUCGGACCAAACGGGGCUCCGGCUCCGGCGCAAAGAGAGGCCCAAGUGAGAUUAGCUAGUUGGUAAGGUAACGGCUUACCAAGGCGACGAUCUCUAGCUGUUCUGAGAGGAAGAUCAGCCACACUGGGACUGAGACACGGCCCAGACUCCUACGGGAGGCAGCAGUGGGGAAUAUUGCACAAUGGGGGAAACCCUGAUGCGGCCAUGCCGCGUGUGUGAAGAAGGCCUUCGGGUUGUAAAGCACUUUCAGUUGUGAGGAAAAGUUAGUAGUUAAUACCUGCUAGCCGUGACGUUAACAACAGAAGAAGCACCGGCUAACUCCGUGCCAGCAGCCGCGGUAAUACGGAGGGUGCGAGCGUUAAUCGGAAUUACUGGGCGUAUAGCGCACGCAGGCGGUUUGUUAAGCUAGAUGUGAAAGCCCCGGGCUCAACCUGGGAUGGUCAUUUUAGAACUGGCAGACU
RNAcentral lists this ribosomal RNA (552 nucleotides) under uncultured bacterium. Its description in RNAcentral is "bacterial SSU rRNA". It matches the Rfam family "Bacterial small subunit ribosomal RNA", at positions 89 to 642 of the family's 1533-position model. The record is from RNAcentral.